AUCCUGGCUCAGGAUGAACGCUAGCGGCAGGCCUAACACAUGCAAGUCGAGGGGUAUAGUUCUUCGGAAUUAGAGACCGGCGCACGGGUGCGUAACGCGUAUGCAAUCUACCUUUCACAGAGGGAUAGCCCAGAGAAAUUUGGAUUAAUACCUCAUAGUAUAGCAGUUUCGCAUGAAACCACUAUUAAAGUCACAACGGUGAAAGAUGAGCAUGCGUCCCAUUAGCUAGUUGGUAAGGUAACGGCUUACCAAGGCAACGAUGGGUAGGGGUCCUGAGAGGGAGAUCCCCCACACUGGUACUGAGACACGGACCAGACUCCUACGGGAGGCAGCAGUGAGGAAUAUUGGACAAUGGGCGCAAGCCUGAUCCAGCCAUGCCGCGUGCAGGAUGACGGUCCUAUGGAUUGUAAACUGCUUUUAUACAGGAAGAAACACUACUUCGUGAAGUAGCUUGACGGUACUGUAAGAAUAAGGAUCGGCUAACUCCGUG
This 490-nucleotide ribosomal RNA is filed under the name uncultured bacterium. Its description in RNAcentral is "bacterial SSU rRNA". It matches the Rfam family "Bacterial small subunit ribosomal RNA", at positions 16 to 507 of the family's 1533-position model. The record is from RNAcentral.